GAUGAACGCUGGCGGUCUGCUUAACACAUGCAAGUCGAACGGGAGCUUCGGCUCUAGUGGCGGACGGGUGAGUAACGCGUGAGAAUCUGCCUUCAGGUCGGGGACAACAGAGGGAAACUUCUGCUAAUCCCGGAUGAGCCUUAGGGUAAAAAAUUUAUUGCCUGGAGAUGAGCUCGCGUCUGAUUAGCUAGUUGGUAAGGUAAAAGCUUACCAAGGCGGCGAUCAGUAGCUGGUCUGAGAGGAUGAGCAGCCACACUGGGACUGAGACACGGCCCAG
RNAcentral lists this ribosomal RNA (277 nucleotides) under uncultured Hydrocoleum sp. RNAcentral's name for it is "partial 16S ribosomal RNA". It matches the Rfam family "Bacterial small subunit ribosomal RNA", at positions 28 to 334 of the family's 1533-position model. Lineage: Bacteria; Bacillati; Cyanobacteriota; Cyanophyceae; Oscillatoriales; Microcoleaceae. The record is from RNAcentral.